Aethina tumida (small hive beetle) is the source of this 1023-nucleotide long non-coding RNA. RefSeq lists it as uncharacterized. The transcript is spliced from 4 exons. Lineage: Eukaryota; Metazoa; Arthropoda; Insecta; Coleoptera; Nitidulidae. The record is from RefSeq and is a predicted model, not a curated record.
UAGCGGAAUAACCAGGAUUAUAAUCUUACAAAAGGAAUAUGUUUGAAUAAAAAUAUUUUAUUCACGUUAAGAAUAUUGUCUUAUUUUUUUUUUAUUUUAUAUAAUAAGGAAAACAAUAAAAUUACUUAUUUCUAUAAAGUAAAAUUCAAAUACUUCUGCAGCAGAUAAUCCGGGGGUAAAUUUGUAUGAGUGGUGACAUCUGUGAAGGUUAGACGUAAUCUAUCGAUUUCACUGAAAGGGUCUCCUAAAUACAACUAAACAGGGUUGUUCCUUGUUAACCGUGGCAGAUGGUGCUUGGUAUUUAAAACUGUCAAAUUGCGUAUUGUGCACAUUACGCGCGUUGUCGUUCAGAUUUAUCUGGUUACUUGUUAUGAUUUACUUGGUAGUCUGUGGACUGGGAUUUACCAUGUUAUGGAUAUACUUAUUUUCUGAUAAGGCAGACAGCUCAGAACAACAAACACAGACGCAAGCAGAUACUGAAGUAACUGAAACUACACCCUAGUAUGAAAUGAAAAAUGGAGAAGACAAUCAAUUGAAGAUCCAAGUAAUUGUACAGCUAAAAUGAAGAUACAGAAGAUUAAUAUUUUAGAAAUAAUGCCAUUAUUGAAAAUAAAACCUAUUCCUAAGUGAAAAUAAGUGCAUGUCUUUAUUGGACUUGUCAUAAACAACAUGUAACUAUAAGAACUGGAUCAUGCAAUAUAUUAGGUCGUUCAAUGUCUUCUCUGAUUAAAACAAAUCUACAAAUGGGCAAAUCAACGUUCUUGCCGACACAUGUUAAAGAAGAAAGACUUAAGAAACUAAGGAACUACUUUUUUUAUAAAUCCGCAAAUAUUUGUUACAUACAUACUCACAUAUUCCACGAAAUUACCAAGUAAAUUGCAUAGAUAUACAAAAAAUGUGUACAGUUUAAAACAAAAAUUCAUGAGAUGUAAGUUGCCGAUAUUCAUCUUCUUUUAAUAAGAUUAUUUCAUAAUUUUUUAAUAUUUCUGUUGUAUUAUUUUUAACAUUUAAAAUUGUGUAGUA